UCUUUCUUUCUUUCUUUCUUUCUUUCUUUCUUUCUUUCUUUCUUCCUGCCAGAAGAUUGGAAACAAUGUUCAUUUCUGAUCAGUUCAGUAAUACAAUGUCCUUCAAUGUCCACUUGAGCAUUUCAGUGGCGAAGAAAAGAAACUUUGCUACCUGGGAACUGAAGACUGCUUAGGUCAGUGAAUGCUAAUAAAGUCCUUAAGGACUCAUGGAACCAGGAGUUAACUUUUCUCAACUGUGAAGGCAAAGAUGGGCUGUCUGGAAAGCUGGACUCAGCCUGGAGCCUGCUACCCAGAUUGCGAUUUUGUGAAGACUUCCGCAUACAAAUGACUCAGAUGCAAACAUUCAGAAAUGAUCUUGGAGGGCCAUCUGGUCCUUGCUGGUUCUAAAAGCUUCAUUCAGCCUGGUGGAUGGAGCCCGUGCAAAAGAGAGUGAGGGCCCCGCACUGAGGUUUAAAUACGUUCCCCUGACCGAGGCGAGAAGCUGACUUUCGAAAUAGCAGAGGCUCGAGGGCCGGCUGAUGUCGCCUCCCUCUUAUAGAUGCUGGCGUUCCGCAUUCAGUCAUUCCCGUCUUUCCACGACUGUGGUGCUCCAGGAGAUCUGCCCUACAAGAUCUGGAAUACCGUCAGAUGAAAUAAACUGUUCCAUUUGCUACGUGAAAUAAAGAGGGCAAGUUAAAUUCGAGGAUGUCUCACAGUGAUGGACACCGUCUGACGAGACUGGAUGUGUUUCUGCAGCUUCUUGCCUUGCCAGCUGGAUCUCCUUGCUUCUUCCAGGAGAGAAAAGGUUGAAAGAGCCAACGGGAACUGAGAAGCAUUAUAAGCUAAGGAGGAAAAGUAACAAAGAGCUUGAAGACUUUCAUGGCUCCCAGGCCCUGGACAGAGGCCGGCGGUCUCAGACAGACAGAACCAAGGAGGGGCCUGUGACGGCACAGCCCAGACUUGCCUUGGAAAAGAUUGAGAAGAGCCAGUAGACUUGGCUUCCUUACCUCUGCUCAUCCCCAUCAGCAGAGAGAAAUAAUGACUCCCGAAACAGUUCACAAUCAAAAGUUAAAACGAUGUUUCAGUGAUGCUACAUCAUGCCAGACGCAGGGCUAAUGGUUGGAAGAUACUGGCCUAAUAAGGUGGCAGCGAACUUUAAAAAAUAGGAUUUCUAAGGAGUUACUUUUUUCAGGUAAUAGCGUUUUCCUAGAACUUUCCCAAACCUUCCAUUUCCUCAAGUACUGCCCAUUUUUAGGGCAUGCCCGAAUGAUUUAAUUAUGAAGCAUAAUUGCAUUUUAAACUCGAUUUUUAAAACUAGCAACUGGUUUUAUAAUACUCAUGGCGAAUGAGUAGAGCGGACAUGGCAUUCAACUGUAUGGAAUUCAGCGGAAAAAACGUAAAGUUAUUACUUAACAGUGCUUACUUUCUUUUGACAAUGAUUUAGGCAGAACUCAUUUGAAACCAUCAGGCACUGUCCUUAAACUCCAUGGCUAUCUUGGGUAAUUGAAUAUAAAAAUGUAAAUAUUAGAAGAUUGUCUCUAAAAAGCCUACCGUGUGCUCUGAAUUCCUGGAAGAUAGAGCUUCUGUAAAUUGCAUCAUAACAAUAUUGACAUUUUAACUUCAGUCCUAGAUUGGUAACACUGUAUGGCGUAUAAUGGAACUCUCCCUGUACAUGUCUAGGGGCUAAGAUUUGAGCUCAGCUCUCAUGAUAUAGGUAGUUUCCUUAUAGUGUUAUCGCAGGACUUUGUGCCACUUAAAAAGGUUUAAUAACAUAAAUGAUAUAUCGCUUGAUAAAUUACCUUACCCUGAUUUGCCAUUGUUCAUAAGCAUCAGCCUACAUUUUCCAACUUAAUUACGAGUAUUAAUAUGUAAGAGAGCCCCACAAAACCUUGCUUAAUAAAGCAAGCCAAAAUUUCUUCUGAAAAGAACAUUUCUUUUCCUCCUUAGCACAGAGAAGCUUCUUGAAGGAGGUAUUCAAUUCAUAUUUUGGAGAAGCUUUCUACCUCCAAACAAACCACACUGCUAGGAGGUCAGUAUUUGACUUAAUUCUUUUCCCCCUGCAAUCUAGGCAUCUUCUGAUUUGUUUUUUGUUUUUGUUUUUUCUGAAAUUAAAACUGUGGAUUGUUUGGAAGCUAACAAUACAAACCAUUUGGAAGGAAUAGCUUCUCUCUGUCCUAUAUUUACCAAAGAGAGAGAGAGAGAGAGAGAGAGAGAGAGAGAGAGAGAGAGAUGCCCCCAAUGAAAACAUAGCAUUGUGCUCCUUUCUGUGGGCUUUGAAGGUACACAUUUAUGAAGACGGCUCUAAUUGAAUGACUAAGUAUAACACUUUGACAGAUCGUCUUUCAUUCAUUGCUAACAAGUACUGCAUUACAUCUUUGUAAUGAACAUGAAAAUGACAGUUAGCCCUCAUCACUCGGGAAGCCUGGGCCGAUUCCUUCCUAUCUGAGUGAGAGCUCCUAUGUCACCCGUGUUCCAGUAAUCCUGAACAGUAUGCAGGGCACCCAUCCUCAAAUGCCUCUGGUCAUUUGUGCCUUUGUCAGAGAGAGAUCAAAGGAAGAGCAGAGGCUUAGAGUUUAUUUUAAAAUCUUUCAUUUUAGAAAGGAAAGGAGCAUAUUAAGGUAAUAAAGCAAAGACCCCUCGGAGGUGAGUGGUUUGGAUCCUAAUUCUUUCCACUAGCUACUCUGUUGUUUCUUUGGAUCUCAAAGUCAAGCCAUGGAACUGCAACUAAAUUCUCAGUCUGGGUAACCUUCACGGCACCAGUGGGCUGCAAGUGGUCAUACCCACGGUUCAGUCCUGAUGAAACAGACAGACAAUGAGAUAUCUGUGAAUGGUCGCAUCUCAGUCCCUAUUGGUUCUGCCAUUGGUUUUAUGUGCUCUUGUUUUCAUAUUGCAGGUCAUGUACAUAAGGGCCUGCUCUUUUCUCUAAAUAGUCCCCAAAUCCAACUCUGUCUUUUCCCAGAUUCUUGAGAAAGGCCGGAAUGCUCAUAUGUCGAGGCAAAGGAGAGAGUUUUUUUUUAUGAGAUCCAGGAUCUAUAGACACUGCUAACAAAAAUUAAAAAGGCCUCUUUUUAGGUCAUGCCAAGGAUGGUGGCGUGUGUUUUUCCCAGUUAUCUAGGGAGGGGGAUUAUUUUACUUUCCAUCAUGUGUCCUAGAAGUGCUUAUGAUUAAGACCGUGUCUUCCGUAAAAUUCAUAAAAGAAGCCAUUAAUGAAGCUUCGUUGCCUUGGAUUCCCAUUCUUACAUGUGGAACAUUGCUUUGGGAGAAGGAAUGUUAUAUUGACAAAUGAAAUCAUUUAUAUUUAUAAGAAGGCCUCAGAAACAGGUCCGUUGUCACAUCCUUGAAAAGUUUUGCGGGGGUCAGGGGGGGACAAUUACGCUAUUUCUUUUCCACUUCAAAUUUUAUAAAAUAAGCCCAAACUUGCUCUGUGUUCAUGUUUGUACCAAUAGUGGGGGGUGGGGUGGAAACAAAACCAUAAACUUUUCCUAAAGAUGAGUCUUUCAGUUUAACGUAGCUAGAAAUCUCUUCCAGAAGACUUUUCAGAAAAUACUUAUAAGCCUGUUCGUGGUGCUUGCCAGUUUAUUCUACCUGUUUUCCAGAAUGCAAAUAGAAAAGAAAAAAACUCAUCAUCCUUGUUCAUGUGAUUACAGGCAUUUAAGAGGAAGAACUUCCAUUGGGGAUUUCAUGUGUUUCUCUCUCUCUCUCCCUCUCUCUCCUGCUUAUAAUUUGGUACCACUUUGCCCAGAUUUCGUGUUAAGAUCUGAAUAAAUGAGUCUUCCAAAAUAUUAAACAGUAACCUGAUGAAAUUUACCUAAAGCCUAGCGUAUCUGUGGAAUAAGUAAAAACAGAAGGACCUGCGUGAGGGACAACACUGAGGAUGCUGCUUAGCCUUCGCAGCAAAGUUUCUUUCUUUCUUUCUUUCUUUCUUUCUUUCUUUCUUUCUUUCUUUC
Panthera uncia (snow leopard) is the source of this 3926-nucleotide long non-coding RNA. RefSeq lists it as uncharacterized. The transcript has 8 exons. The record is from RefSeq and is a predicted model, not a curated record. NCBI's taxonomy places the organism in Eukaryota, Metazoa, Chordata, Mammalia, Carnivora, Felidae.